GGUGAAAGGUGUCUUGUGAAAGCCCUCGGCUCAACCGAGGAACUGCUUGGCAAACCAUCACCCUUGAGGCAGGUAGAGGCGACUGGAACGUUCGGUGGAGCGGUGAAAUGCGUAGAGAUCGAACGGAACACCAGUGGCGAAAGCGGGUCGCUGGGCCUGUCCUGACGCUGAGACGCGAAAGCGUAGGGAGCAAACAGGAUUAGAUACCCUGGUAGUCUACGCUGUAAACGAUGCGCACGUGGUACGGGAGUCUCUGACGGCAUCCGUGCCGAAGCGAAAGCGAUGAGUGCGCCGCCUGGGGAGUACGGCCGCAAGGCUAAAACUCAAAGGAAUUGACGGGGGCUCACACAAGCGGUGGAGCAUGUGGAUUAAUUCGAAGCAACGCGAAGAACCUUACCUGGGUUUGACAUGCACGGAUGCACCGGCGAAAGUCGGCUAUGCUGCCUUCGGGUGAAACGUGCACAGGUGCUGCAUGGCUGUCGUCAGCUCGUGCUGUGAAGUGUCGGGUUAAGUCCCUUAACGAGCGAAACCCCUAUCGCUAGUUGCCAUCGGUUCGGCCGGGAACUCUAGCGAGACUGCCGGCGUCAAGCCGGAGGAAGGUGGGGAUGACGUCAAGUCCUCAUGGCCUUUAUGCCCAGGGCGUCACACGUGCUACAAUGGCCGGUACAGAGCGACGCGAGACCGCGAGGUGGAGCAAAUCGCACAAAGCCGGCCCCAGUUCGGAUUGGAGUCUGCAAUUCGACUCCAUGA
This 750-nucleotide ribosomal RNA is filed under the name uncultured Planctomycetota bacterium. Its description in RNAcentral is "bacterial SSU rRNA". It matches the Rfam family "Bacterial small subunit ribosomal RNA", at positions 579 to 1323 of the family's 1533-position model. The record is from RNAcentral. Lineage: Bacteria; Pseudomonadati; Planctomycetota.